This 241-nucleotide ribosomal RNA is filed under the name uncultured bacterium. RNAcentral describes it as "partial 16S ribosomal RNA". It matches the Rfam family "Bacterial small subunit ribosomal RNA", at positions 333 to 591 of the family's 1533-position model. The record is from RNAcentral.
UGCGUCCUACGGGAGGCAGCAGUGGGGAAUAUUGCACAAUGGGGGAAACCCUGAUGCAGCGACGCCGCGUGGGUGAAGAAGUAUUUCGGUAUGUAAAGCUCUAUCAGCAGGGAAGAAAAUGACGGUACCUGACUAAGAAGCCCCGGCUAACUACGUGCCAGCAGCCGCGGCAAUACGUAGGGGGCAAGCGUUAUCCGGAUUUACUGGGUGUAAAGGGAGCGUAGACGGUGAUGCAAGUCAG